GCGCUCGUAGCUCAGUGGAUAGAGUAUUGGCCUCCGAAGCCAAGGGUCACUGGUUCGAUUCCAGUCGAGCGCGCCA
RNAcentral lists this transfer RNA (76 nucleotides) under Formosimonas limnophila. RNAcentral describes it as "tRNA-Arg". It matches the Rfam family "tRNA". From Rfam's summary of the family: Transfer RNA (tRNA) molecules are approximately 80 nucleotides in length. Their secondary structure includes four short double-helical elements and three loops (D, anti-codon, and T loops). Further hydrogen bonds mediate the characteristic L-shaped molecular structure. tRNAs have two regions of fundamental functional importance: the anti-codon, which is responsible for specific mRNA codon recognition, and the 3' end, to which the tRNAs corresponding amino acid is attached (by aminoacyl-tRNA synthetases). tRNAs cope with the degeneracy of the genetic code in two manners: having more than one tRNA (with a specific anti-codon) for a particular amino acid; and 'wobble' base-pairing, i.e. permitting non-standard base-pairing at the 3rd anti-codon position. Lineage: Bacteria; Pseudomonadati; Pseudomonadota; Betaproteobacteria; Burkholderiales; Burkholderiaceae. The record is from RNAcentral.